This 1310-nucleotide ribosomal RNA is filed under the name uncultured marine archaeon. RNAcentral's name for it is "bacterial SSU rRNA". It matches the Rfam family "Archaeal small subunit ribosomal RNA", at positions 20 to 1336 of the family's 1478-position model. The record is from RNAcentral.
GACCUGACUGCUAUCGGAUUGAUACUAAGCCAUGCGAGUCAUUGUAGCAAUACAAGGCAUACGGCUCAGUAACGCGUAGUCAACCUAACCUAUGGACGGGAAUAACCUCGGGAAACUGAGAAUAAUGCCCGAUAGAACACUAUACCUGGAAUGGUUUGUGUUCCAAAUGAUUUAUCGCCAUAGGAUGGGACUGCGGCCUAUCAGUUUGUUGGUGAGGUAAUGGCCCACCAAGACUAUUACAGGUACGGGCUCUGAGAGGAGUAGCCCGGAGAUGGAUUCUGAGACACGAAUCCAGACCCUACGGGGUGCAGCAGGCGCGAAAACUUGGCAAUGCGAGAAAUCGUGACCAGGGAACUCCAAGUGCAUCGGGUAAGACCGGUGCUUUUCUUGACUCUAAAUAGGUCUUGGAAUAAGGGGUGGGUAAGGACGGUGCCAGCCGCCGCGGUAAUACCGGCGCCUCAAGUGGUAGUCGCUUUUAUUGGGCCUAAAACGUCCGUAGCCGGUCUGAUACAUUCGUGGGUAAAUCAACCAGCUUAACUGGUUGAAUUCUGCGAGGACGGUCAGACUUGGGACCGGGAGAGGUGUGGGGUACGCUCAGGGUAGGGGUAAAAUCCUGUCAUCCUGAGCGGACCACCUGUUGCGAAGGCGCCACACUAGAACGGAUCCGACGGUCAGGGACGAAGCCUAGGGGCACGAACCGGAUUAGAUACCCGGGUAGUCCUAGGUGUAAACGCUGUGGACUUGAUGUUGGGGGUGCUCCGAGCACUCUCAGUGUCGAAGCGAAGGUGAUAAGUCCACUGCCUGGGAAGUACGGUCGCAAGGCUGAAACUUAAAGGAAUUGGCGGGGGAGCACCGCAACCUGAGGAUUGUGCGGUUUAAUUGGAUUCAACGCCGGAAAACUCACCAUAGCCGACGGACAAAUGAAGGUCAGUGUAAUGAACUUACCGGAUUGUUCGAGAGGUAGUGCAUGGCCGCCGUCAGUUCGUACCGCAAGGCGUUCUGUUAAGUCAGAUAACGAACGAGACCCUCAUCUCUAUUUGCUAACUGGAUCUCCGGAUCCAGUGCACUAUAGGGAGACCGCUGGCGCUAAGUCAGAGGAAGGGGAGGGCAACGGUAGGUCAGUAUGCUCCGAAUGCUAUGGGCUACACGCGCAAUACAAAGGACAGGACAAUGGGCAGCUGCUCCGAAAGGAAUGAUAGCUAUCCCGAAACCUGUUCGUAGUUCGGAUUGAGGGCUGUAACUCGCCCUCAUGAAGCUGGAUUAGGUAGUAAUCGCGUCUCAAAAAGGCGCGGUGAAUAUGCCCCUGCUCC